Molecule: long non-coding RNA, 3847 nt
Organism: Oryctolagus cuniculus (rabbit)
Lineage: Eukaryota; Metazoa; Chordata; Mammalia; Lagomorpha; Leporidae
Source: Ensembl
AUGGGAUGGUGUUACGAGGCCGGCUUCAUGAGUGGGAUUAGUGCCCAGACCGACCCCACAGAGUUCUCGCGCCCUGUUUUCUACCAUGGGAAUGCAGGUGGAGAAGGUGCGCACGGGUGGGCCGGGAAGCAGGUGCUCCCCAGGCACCAUCUGAGCUGGUCCCUUGAUCGGAGGCGUCUCCAGAACUAUGAGAAGCAAACUUCUGUGACUGACAUGGGGAUGAAGGAACAAAGCUCUUGCAGCUCUGCAGAGAAAGCCUGUGACGGGGACUUUAUUCCCGGGAAGCAGACAGCCCAGAGGGAGAGCCUGCAGGAAGGGCAAGUGUCUUGCACAACCUGCAAGAGGAACCCACCCGGACAGCCACGAAGUCCCGCGGGGCAGCCAGUGGCCAGAGCCGGGGCCUCUCCUGCGCCCGCGGGGUGCAUGGCAGCACUGGCCGCCCACUCUCUCUUUCCUGCUUUGAUCUGCUUCCCGUAGCAGAAGGCCCUGUCUGCAUCGGACACCAGAUGGCCCCCACAACCUUCUUAGAAUGGAUUUGCAUCAGAUAACACGCCGUCUCUGGCUCCCUCCCUGAAGGUGUGGGAGCUGCUUCUCUGGAAAGAAAGAAAAAAAUGGUAAUUUCAGUACCAGAAAAAAAAAUUGCACAAAUGUUCAUUUCUGUUUCCUCUGGGAUCCUUCUGAUGAUAAGUGGGCCCUGAAUUUGGGCAGCCUCCAAAAUGUGUUGGGUUCCUCCACGAUGCUUGGGGCCCUGGUCUCCCCAGCACCCACCUCCAGGGCCAAAGUCUCCUUGGGACAGUUUCACCAAAUCGUGGCAAGAUGUGGCUGCACACUGGGUUUUUGUCCUGUAUCUGCCGGGGGGCUUUGCACACACCAGCUGGCCCCUCUAUGGCGCAGGUGGAUUGCGGGCUGGGCUGGACUUCAAACACAGAUCAGCACAGCCGCUUACAUGGCUGAGGCCAAGCACAGAGGGACAUGUAUCUCUCACGGAUUCUCACCUUGAAUCCUCUGCUUUUCUCAAAACAGAUUGUGAUGGGGCCAUACGUGGACCUUCCAAUGGCCGCUUCGGAGAAACCUGGGGAGGAUUAGAAGAGAGAGCCACAUCCCAGCCACACACCUGCAAUACAAAUCAGAAGGAAGAAGUUAGUUCUUAAACGGCCAGCCGUGCCCAGUGCUGUGCAUGCCUCUGGAGGGAGGGCAAGUGCAUGCCCACCGCCUCCUCGUGCCAUGUUUCUCCGAUGUAGGCAGGGACAUGGUCUGGAGCAGGACCCAGAAGAACACAGACACCUUUGUUUCCUCACACACUCGCUCCAGAGGGCUUGCAGCCAUUCGGGAGGUGUCAGUGCAAGAGGGCCCCCUUGCAGCUGGGAGGCCAGGGACUCCUCUUCUGAGCUGUCCACAAACAGCACCCUGGGAAGGAAGUGGGGAAAGUGAAGAGAACCCGAGACCUGGCAGCGCACCCCAGCGGCACUCCUAAAUGGAUCCUGAGACCAUUGCUGACCCAUAAGAUGCAGACAGCGCCCCCCAUUGAUAGAUGGGGGGAAGCCCUUGAACAGCCACAGCACCAAACCCCUAGAAGGGCAGGGAUGACAGGAGGAGGCUGAGGACGGCCCCCUGCUCCUUGUCUGCCUCAGAGCUUUGAAAUGCGACUGUGUUUGAAGCGGCCUGGAUAACUAGAUGCAGCAGCAUUUAGGAGAGGCUGCCUCAAAUCCCUUUGGUAAUAGGAUGAGUAUAAGAUAAAAACGAAUCAAGUAAUGUUUCCCAUCAAAAUCGAGCUGCAUUGGCCAGCACCCUGUGAAACAGUGAUGCUUCCACAAGCAGGAAGACUGUCCCAUCCCUCAGCCCCCAGGUACCUGUCCCGGAUGAGGAGGUGCAGCUUUACAGAUGGGGGGCCUUUGGGGAUGCUCCCCACUGGGCUCAGACCUGCAGGCCCUGGCCUCAUUCCUGUCCUGGCCUCCAUCCACGCCAUAGCCCCAGUCCCCUAUCCCCAGCCCCCAGCCCCCAGCAGCCGUUCUUUGGCCCGCCCACCCUUCUUUCUGGGCAGUUCUUCCAUCUUCAUCACUCCCCUCCCCAGACCCUUGGAAGAAUCAUCUCUUCCCAGAAUCAAGGACCUGUGCUGAACAGUUUAAAAGACAAUCCUGUGGUUUAACUAGGAACCUAGAAGGGGGUGGAGAAAGCUCUCGAUCAUCCAGUGAGUCUCAGUCUCAAAGGGUGACAGGGCUGAUGAGCUGGCAAAACUCACGCCGUUUGUCAGCCUGGCUUCCUUCUCCAUCGUCUCUUUGUGGUGGUUUAAGACUUGUAGCUGCGUCUCCUGCAGGAAACCUUUGUGGGUCCUUCGUGAUGCUCUGUCCCUUGCCCGCCCCUGGGAAAUGUCAGCUGUGUACUGUGCAGGCCCCUUCCUCCUGGAAGACUGACCAGUCCUGGCCAGCAUGGCUGAGCUGGCCACUUCUGCGUGUGCCCCACACUGGAAGGCCUAUUUUGCUUUUGAGCAGGAAGAUGAAAUGAACUGCAGGCAUAGUUUUUGAGAGCAAGGGCAGGGAGAGCCCCUUGGGUGUGGGGACGUCACUGACUGUAUGGUGAGGCUGACCCCACAUGCGUGUCCAACCUCAGAGCUUUUGCCCUUGAACUUGGAAAGAAUGUGGGGAAGAACAUCAGGGAGAGAGGCUGGGGCGAGGAGAAAAAAGCCCUCAGGUCCUGAACUCAGGGCAUUUGGACAAGAAAAUGGGAUGAAGGGUGGCUGGUGAGACUGGAGGCCUGGCAAGAGCGACCACUCCAGGCCAUGUGCCACCCCAGAGAUUGCCCACGUGUAUGUCUUUCCCUGAACAGUGCAGUGCGUGCCUACCUUGGGGACCCUGAGGUUGGGUGUGGUGGGAGAGGAGACUUCGGGACUCCCUGUCCUUCCUGUCACACAUGCCCACAGGCUCCACUGCCGUCACCUGGCUCUAGAUCACCCCAUGUCAGCGCUGCCUACUGCACCCAGCUUCAGGCAUAUAUGCAAGAUCCCUGGGCCUGGGGAAAGGAAGUGUGGACCAUGUUUCCAGGUCCUGAAAUCUAGUGUUGGCGCCAACACCUGCUCCCUGCCCCCAACAUGUACAUCCCAAAGUCAUGUGCAAGGUGGAAGGCUAGGGUGUGGCCUGGCCAUGCAGACCCCUUCCCCCGCCUUCUCCCUCCCACAUGCAGGUCUGAGCACUGCUGGUCCCUGCCCACAUGGAACCUACAGCCUAGAGGGAGAGUCCCACUCCCGCCUCCGAGACAAGGCGUGAGGGAGGAGAGAAGAGGCCCCAAGCAGACAGAUAAUGGGGUGUCUGGAGUCACCUGACCCCAUUUUGGGGACAUCAGAGAAAGCCUUACUAAGCGCUGUUUUGAUAUCUAGAGGAGAAAAAAGGUUUUAAGGCAUAAUUGGCUGAAGCCCUUUGUGCCUUCUAAGGAUGUGUAUUUGCAGGUGGAAAGUGGCACGGUUCACAUCUGUGAGGACAUCUGUCGCUUGUCGUGGGGCCGGGGUGCCGGCCUGGGCAGGGCACAGCACGCGAACGGCUCCUUUGCAUGAGGAAGGAGGGCUGUGGGGCCUGGCAUGGGGUCUGGGAUGGGAGGGAGAGGGGCUAACACAUGGGUGAACAAAGGCAUGCAUUACUUUAUUUGAGCUGCUGGAGAGAGAUGUCCUGGUCAUGGGAGACAAAGUGAAGUCCAAGUUCAUGGGGCAGACGAGAGAGAAACCUACUGGGAAGUUUUAGUGAUGAGAUGCUGGGAUGCGCCCUCAAAGCUCCUCCCAUUAAGGCAGGACCAGAAAGGCUUUGGCUGAUGGUUGAAGCCUGAUGAAAAUAAAGACACCAGAAACUCCUGGAUUUGGCCA